Molecule: ribosomal RNA, 497 nt
Filed under: uncultured bacterium
Lineage: Bacteria
Description: partial 16S ribosomal RNA
Rfam family: Bacterial small subunit ribosomal RNA
Source: RNAcentral
GAUGAACGCUGGCGGCGUGCCUAAUACAUGCAAGUCGAGCGAACGGACGAGAAGCUUGCUUUUCUGAUGUUAGCGGCGGACGGGUGAGUAACACGUGGAUAACCUACCUAUAAGACUGGGAUAACUUCGGGAAACCGGAGCUAAUACCGGAUAAUAUUUUGAACCGCAUGGUUCAAAAGUGAAAGACGGUCUUGCUGUCACUUAUAGAUGGAUCCGCGCUGCAUUAGCUAGUUGGUAAGGUAACGGCUUACCAAGGCAACGAGGCAUAGCCGACCUGUGAGGGGGAUCGGCCACACUGGAACUGAGACACGGACCAGACUCCUACGGGAGGCAGCAGUAGGGAAUCUUCCGCAAUGGGCGAAAGCCUGACGGAGCAACGCCGCGUGAGUGAUGAAGGUCUUCGGAUCGUAAAACUCUGUUAUGAGGGAAGAACAUAUGUGUAAGUAACUGUGCACAUCUUGACGGUACCUAAUCAGAAAGCCACGGCUAACUACGUG